This 510-nucleotide ribosomal RNA is filed under the name Cephalomastax brevis. RNAcentral's name for it is "partial 16S rRNA". It matches the Rfam family "Bacterial large subunit ribosomal RNA", at positions 1831 to 2597 of the family's 2925-position model. The record is from RNAcentral. Lineage: Eukaryota; Metazoa; Nemertea; Pilidiophora; Heteronemertea; Valenciniidae.
UAGCUUAUUGAUUUUUAUAAUAAGUAAUUUCUGCCCGGUGAUAUUUUUAACGGCCGCGGUACUCUGACCGUGCAAAGGUAGCAUAAUCAUUUGCCCCUUAAUUAGGGGCUUGUAUGAAGGAAACUUCGAGUUCCUGCCUGUCUCUCAUUAAAAAUUAAAAUUUUCUUUUGUUGUGAGGAAGCAAUAAUGUCAUAAAGGGACAAGAAGACCCUAUCGAGCUUUAUCAUAAUAUAUAGUAUAUGGUUUUUAUUUAUAUAUUUAAAGUUAUUGUAUGAUUUCGUUGGGGCGACGAGAAAAGAGUGAAUCUUUUCUUCUUUUUAAACUUUACCAGUUUAAUUUAAUGACCGGAUUUUUAUCCUUUUUUGAACACAGUUACCGUAGGGAUAACAGCGUAAUCUUGUUUGAGAGUUCUAAUCGAAAAUAGGGUUUGCGACCUCGAUGUUGACUUAUUAUUUCCUGGUUUUAGGUGCAAAAGCUGUUAAGGUUGGUCUGUUCGACCAUUAAAAUAGU